AGGAGGAACAGCUGCUGUCUGUUGAGGGAAUGAGAGGGGCACAGGUGCUCCCUAUAGAGACUCAUUUGGUCCCACAGGCCAUAUUAGUAGGCUGGUCUCUACACUUGUGUUUGCAGAGCUGUAACUGGAGGCACUGGAGGUCUGAAAUGAAGAAGGUGAAGAGAGGUGGGCUUGGUGCGCUGGGCUUCUCCCCAUUAAGAAGAAUUGCAGACAACUGAAUAUGGAAAAGAAUACAAAAGCAGAGCCUGUCAGUCACCCCUGGGUGGUUGUCAGCAUCUGGAAGGAUGGAUGCAGAAGUUAAGAGCAGCCAUCUUCAUCCAGUCACCUGUGUGCCUCAGUCAGAGGUCAAAGCUGUUGAACACAAUGGCAAAGCAGCAUAGGAGAAACACCCUUUGUCCUCUGUCAUCGCUGUCAAAAACAGAGGAGGGGAAGAAGUCCCGCACACCACAUUUCAGCAAAGCCCUGAAGACAGUGUUCUGCACAGAGUCCCAGCCUCCAAUUGGCAGUCCCAGCUCUUUGGCAGAUGAUUUUAUCCAGGGUCAGACCCACAGCUCUUGAAAACUCACAACCUGAGGGAGUUCUGGAACUCCUCACCUCAUGGGUACACCACAGCGCUGAUCCAAGAGCCAGGGGCAGCAUUCCUUGGCCAAGAGGUUUGUGCUGGAUGGGAGCUGAGACCCUGAGUCUGAGGCUGCCCAGGAUCAGUGUGCUCAGAAUACCAACGGGCAUCAAUCAGGCAGUCUGGGAGAGCAUACAGAAACGUAUCAAUUUGUUCCCGAGUAUUUUCAGGCACAAACAACUGCAAGAAUUUACCACGGCUAUAUAAAAAUAUAGUCUGGGACCCAGGCAGGUCUGUAAAAGUUGUGUGAAGCUGGAGGACGCAUUUCCUUGUGGG
Molecule: long non-coding RNA, 895 nt
Filed under: Gallus gallus (chicken)
Lineage: Eukaryota; Metazoa; Chordata; Aves; Galliformes; Phasianidae
Description: lncRNA (ENSGALG00010019476.1)
Source: RNAcentral